Molecule: small nucleolar RNA, 115 nt
Organism: Alexandromys fortis (reed vole)
Lineage: Eukaryota; Metazoa; Chordata; Mammalia; Rodentia; Cricetidae
Product: small nucleolar RNA SNORA26
Exons: 1
Source: RefSeq, a predicted model, not a curated record
AGUCUUGCUUAUCAGGCAAGACUUAUAACUAUAUAAAAGGUAGUCUAGUUGCUCUCCAUAAAACCCUCGGAGGAGACUGUGCGCCUCCUCUACGGAUCCUGUCUGGAGUCUAGUU